This 253-nucleotide ribosomal RNA is filed under the name uncultured bacterium. Its description in RNAcentral is "partial 16S ribosomal RNA". It matches the Rfam family "Bacterial small subunit ribosomal RNA", at positions 524 to 776 of the family's 1533-position model. The record is from RNAcentral.
UACGUAGGUGGCAAGCGUUGUCCGGAAUUAUUGGGCGUAAAGCGCGCGCAGGCGGUCCUUUAAGUCUGAUGUGAAAGCCCACGGCUCAACCGUGGAGGGUCAUUGGAAACUGGGGGACUUGAGUACAGAAGGGAAGAGUGGAAUUCCACGUGUAGCGGUGAAAUGCGUAGAGAUGUGGAGGAACACCAGUGGCGAAGGCGACUCUUUGGUCUGUAACUGACGCUGAGGCGCGAAAGCGUGGGGAGCAAACAGG